RNAcentral lists this transfer RNA (65 nucleotides) under Halice sp. JL-2018. RNAcentral describes it as "tRNA-Ile". Lineage: Eukaryota; Metazoa; Arthropoda; Malacostraca; Amphipoda; Pardaliscidae. The record is from RNAcentral.
UAUAAAGUGCCUGAGGAUUAAAGGGCUAUUUUGAUGUAAUAGAGAUGUAGUAAUUACCUUUAUAA